GGCGGUUUGAUAAGUNUGAAGUUAAAGGCUGUGGCUCANCCAUAGUUCGCUUUGGAAACUGUCAAACUUGAGUGCAGAAGGGGAGAGUGGAAUUCCAUGUGUAGCGGUGAAAUGCGUAGAUAUAUGGAGGAACACCGGUGGCGAAAGCGGCUCUCUGGUCUGUAACUGACGCUGAGGCUCGAAAGCGUGGGGAGCGAACAGGAUUAGAUACCCUGGUAGUNCACGCCGUAAACGAUGAGUGCUAGGUGUUGGGUCCUUUCCGGGAUUCAGUGCCGCAGCUAACGCAUUAAGCACUCCGCCUGGGGAGUACGACCGCAAGGUUGAAACUCAAAGGAAUUGACGGGGGCCCGCACAAGCGGUGGAGCAUGUGGUUAAAUUCGAAGCAACGCGAAGAACCUUACCAGGUCUUGACAUCCCGAUGCUAUUUCUAGAGAUAGGGAGUUACUUCGGUACAUCGGUGACAGGUGGUGCAUGGUUGUCGUCAGCUCGUGUCGUGAGAUGUUGGGUUAAGUCCCGCAACGAGCGCAACCCCUAUUGUUAGUUGCCAUCAUUCAGUUGGGCACUCUAGCGAGACUGCCGGUAAUAAACCGGAGGAAGGUGGGGAUGACGUCAAAUCAUCAUGCCCCUUAUGACCUGGGCUACACACGUGCUACAAUGGUUGGUACAACGAGUUGCGAGUCGGUGACGGCGAGCUAAUCUCUUAAAGCCAAUCUCUGUUCGGAUUGUAGGCUGCAACUCGCCUACAUGAAGUCGGAAUCGCUAGUAAUCGCGGAUCAGCACGCCGCGGUGAAUACGUUCCCGGGCCUUGUACACACCGCCCGUCACACCACGAGAGUUUGUAACACCCGAAGUC
RNAcentral lists this ribosomal RNA (853 nucleotides) under uncultured bacterium. RNAcentral describes it as "bacterial SSU rRNA". It matches the Rfam family "Bacterial small subunit ribosomal RNA", at positions 574 to 1428 of the family's 1533-position model. The record is from RNAcentral.